ACGUCAUUUAGACGUUGUUUUUUGGGCUAAAUCACGUCGGCCCGUCAUGACCUUCAUUUAGUCCAAAAAAAGACGUUGAAAACUGGUCUUUGUUUGGUCCGUCUAAUUCAGUCCAAAUUUAGCCUAAAAUUAGACGUCUUUUUCGGACCACUUUUCAACGUGUCUCCAUUCAAUAAUAAUCCAGACAAAAUAUGCAUGAAUGUAUACGCAGAAAAAAUAAAUACUGAGCACAUUGAACGAUAAUGAAAUGCUUUGUUUAAAGUCUAUUAAUAUUUCUGUUUAUUUUAAUUAAAUAAAUAUGUUAAAUGUGCUCUAAACAGGUCAUUUUGGUCCACUACAGCACUGAUAGAAGCACUUCAUUUUCAUCUUUUAACAAAUAUCUUUAUUUUCUUUUAAUAUGAUAUUAUUGGCAGAGGCGCGCGACCAUCUCAUGCUUUGUGGUCACGUGAUUAUUCAACCGGAGACGCGCGUUAGGGAUUUUCUCCUCAGACCAGUGUUUCUGUUUUGUGGUCGAUUCUGGGAUCCUUUUCUUGGUGUGUCUUGAUGUUUUCUAUUGGCUAAAGACAUGUCUCUGUGAAACUGACAAUCUCAGGUAGGAGCUGCUGGUUUGUGGUUGGCAGUAUGGAUCACAGUCUGCGACUCAUGAGGAGCUGGGCUGGAGACAUGAAGAGGUUGUUAACAGGCCAUCCAUCCAAGAUCAUCUAUCUGAGCUGCUGAAAACUGCCUCGGUACGGAUCUGUUGGAGCUUUGUGUCACUGACUGUAUUUCUGCAAAUUCCUGUUCCGUGUCAAAUGGCUUAUGCAAGACUGAAUCCAUAAAGGGGAUGGUCUGUGGAGACUGUGGGCGAUUCCUUCUGCUGUCAUUUAAACAUGAGCAGGAGUAAUGACGGGAUUUAAAUGGACGAAGCUAAUAUUAUGCCAGAGUCCGCUGCUUAUGCUGUAACCAUAAAGCAACCAGGACAACACACCUGGAGUGACCGAGAGCAGGAUGAAGAAAGAAUCGGACGAGAAAAUAUCAAUUGGUGCCCAUGAGGAGACAUAUUGUUCUUGGACCUGCUUUUUCUGUUUAGUAAUAAGUGGUUUUAUGUGGUUACAUAAAAGUAAUUUAAUAUUCAAUCCACAAGCUAAAUUUCCUACAUUUUCUUAAAAGGGUAGUUGACCCAAAAAGGAAAAUUCUGUCAUUUACACAAACAGUUUGGUUACAAACAUUUCUCACAAUAUCUGCCUUCCUGUUUAUCAGAACAAAGAAAUGUAUGCGGGUUUGUAACAACAUGAGAGUGUGUAAAUGACAUAAUUUUCAUUUUUGGGUGAAGUACCCCUUUAACAUUUUUAUACACCGGGGUAGGGGUGUGCAGCGGAGUCAGUAUUUGUAUCUGUAACAGUCUCAAAAUUAUUUGUAUCUGUAUUUGUAUUCGGAUUAAACCGGAAGUGGGUGGGUUGACAACUCAUAUUACAUUAAAAUGGCAUUUUAAAUGCAUUUUUGCUUUUUAUUAUAAUUAUAACUUAAAUAACUGUAAAUAUUUAUUCAAAAUAAUAAUACAAAAUUUUAAUCAAAAAGACAAAUAACUUGAUUCUCGUUAGUAAUACUCAUGGAAAGCAAACAACUCAUUUUUAAAGCCUCAUACAGCUUGUGCUAUGCAUCAUUGUAUUGUAGCAUUAAAAUAACAAACUUGAAAGCACGUUGACAAAACUGUAGGCUAGAUCACCUUUAAAUGUUUAUUGUGCCUGUCAGCACAGUUCCAUGAGACCCAUUCUUUCUAAAUGAGUGCGAUGUUUUCAGAAAAAAAUAAGUAGCCUACAUUAAUCCCUAGUCUAGCGAUUUAAAUAUAGUAAUUAAACAUCUAAAAUUAUCGUUAUUUGUAAGUUUUCUAAAAGAGUGAAAUAUAACCUAAUACUACUCACAUCCAUGUCUGACAUCUUGGUUUCAGUUUAAAAACAUGCAGGAAUUUGAAAAUAAAAUGCAGGACUUGCUUGAUGCUUAAAGAGUUAUUAAGGGAGAUAAAGUUCGGGAACUGAUUUAUGUUAAAAAGUUAUUAAGAUCGACAAACUCGCGCUGACUGACAGAUCCGAAAUGCAACGCAGGGACACGCAAGUGGCCAGUAUAUGCACAGAAUAGUUCAAAAACAUCUGUUUUGAUAAGAAUUUACGAAAGCAUAAUAAGCAUUAGAACAAACUUGCUGAGCUCAUUUUUAUCUAUGUCCAUAUAGCGAAUAUAACGAAUUGUUUAAAAAAAACUUUCUUAUUAAUCUUCAUCUAAAUAAAUAUAUAAUCAGAUAGUUGUUUAAAUUUUUAAAUAACAGUAUGCUCUAUUAAAAAUCAGUUUUGACUUAGUUCAAAACCAGCAACAUGAUUUAAAACAAUAAUGUAAUUAGAAAUAUUUAAUUCAAAUGUUUCAGUUGUUAUUUGCUUACUUUAUUUUUAUGUUAAUUGCAAUUCAUGUCAUAGUAUUCUUCAGUUUAAAUUUUGCUUUUAAAAUGUUACAUUUUCAUAUUUUUAUCUAUUUACUUAUUUAUUUUAUAUUCACCUAGAUUGACAAUAAAGCUUGCUUCGACUAGAAGUAAUUAAAAUAUCAUCUACCGGUGCCACAGAGAUACAGAGUUAUUAACGAAUAUUUUAUUAUCAGAGUGCAGCAUUUUAUCAAGGUUUUCUGUCCUAAUUAAAUAAAACGGAAUUUUUUUUUUUUUAAAGUUGGGUUAAAAGAAGUUUGAUAUUAGCAGCGUUUUUAAGAUUUUAAACUAAUUCCAAAACAGCUCGCGUUUCUAAAUAAGGGUUGCGCCGAAAAUGUCAUUUUAUAGAUUGCACUCAUUCACUUCACACACACAUUAUUCUUGCUUUAAGGGGUUUAUAAUUUAGAGCUGUUCCAGUAAACAUGUGAUUAUGUCUGGCCGAAUAUUUUCUCUGUUAUUCGGAUGAAUUCGUUGUUCGUUUUGAAGCUAUUAUCCGUGCCCUUCCGAAUAACGUAUUCGGCUUCGGUCACAUCCCUACCCAGGGGUAAAAGAAAUGUAUGUUAAACAUUUUUAGUUUGUCUUUUUUUUGUUACUGCUACUUUUAACAAGACUAAUUAUUCAGCCAAGCUUAUUUUGUACUUUAAGAAAUGAACAGCUUUUAUGGGUUUUAAGACACAGAUAUGUGCUCACAGUUUGCCCAUAGAAUGCCCAGUGGUGUCCCACAAUUUUCCCGCAGUAUGCCCACAUUUUUCCCACGUAUUUGUAUUUAAAUAAAUUUUUCCACACAGUAUUUUGUAUUUGUGAUAUCUGAAUUUGUGAUAGUAAUUUGAAUUUUAAAACAAUUCCAUGUAUGUAUGGCUAUCUCAGAUCAUAUGCAUGUGAAAGGCAGUUUCUGGUAUAAAUAGAUCAUGAAGGUAAGAAUCUUAACCAUGCCAGGUGAGGGAUAUAUUAUGGCUGAAAAAACAAUAAACCAAUUAAUGAAAUAUUCAUGUCAUAUGUGUGUUUGACAUAUAAAUUCGUAUUACCUUUUUGUUAGCUGUCCUAUUUUGAGAUAAUUAUUAGCCUAAUAAUAAUAAUAGUAUAAUUAAUAUUAUAUAAUGCAUUCUUGAAACGAGGUUAAACCCUUGGAAAGACAUAGGAAAUAAUAUCGAAAUUUAGCCCAUUUAUAGACGUCUUUUCAACGACCAUGAAAAGACGUCUUUUAGCCUUUCACUUUUCAACCAAAUUUAGCCUUUUUCUAGACGUCGAUUUAUAGACGUCUUUUCAACGACCAUGAAAAGACGUCUUUUAGCCUUUCACUUUUCAACCAAAUUUAGCCUUUUUCUAGACGUCGAUUUAUAGACGUCUUUUCAACGACCAUGAAAAGACGUCUUUUCACCUUUCACUUUUCAACCAGAAUUUCACGUCAUUAAGACGUCUGGAGAAGUCGUCGUUUCGACGU
Molecule: long non-coding RNA, 3887 nt
Organism: Paramisgurnus dabryanus
Lineage: Eukaryota; Metazoa; Chordata; Actinopteri; Cypriniformes; Cobitidae
Source: RefSeq, a predicted model, not a curated record